This 253-nucleotide ribosomal RNA is filed under the name uncultured bacterium. Its description in RNAcentral is "partial 16S ribosomal RNA". It matches the Rfam family "Bacterial small subunit ribosomal RNA", at positions 524 to 776 of the family's 1533-position model. The record is from RNAcentral.
UACAGAGGGGGCAAGCGUUGUUCGGAAUUACUGGGCGUAAAGGGCGCGUAGGCGGCCUGUUAAGUCGGACGUGAAAUCCCUCGGCUCAACCGGGGAACUGCGUCCGAUACUGGCGGGCUUGAAUUCGGGAGAGGGAUGUGGAAUUCCAGGUGUAGCGGUGAAAUGCGUGGAUAUCUGGAGGAACACCGGUGGCGAAGGCGGCAUCCUGGACCGACAUUGACGCUGAGGCGCGAAAGCCAGGGGAGCAAACGGG